UGCCUCAGCAGGGCUGUUGUUAUCU
Molecule: non-coding RNA, 25 nt
Filed under: Rattus norvegicus (Norway rat)
Lineage: Eukaryota; Metazoa; Chordata; Mammalia; Rodentia; Muridae
Source: RNAcentral